This 712-nucleotide ribosomal RNA is filed under the name uncultured bacterium. RNAcentral's name for it is "bacterial SSU rRNA". It matches the Rfam family "Bacterial small subunit ribosomal RNA", at positions 112 to 842 of the family's 1533-position model. The record is from RNAcentral.
AACGCGUGGGUAACCUGCCUCAUACAGGGGGAUAACAGUUAGAAAUGACUGCUAAUACCGCAUAAGACCACAGCACCGCAUGGUGCGGGGGUAAAAACUCCGGUGGUAUGAGAUGGACCCGCGUCUGAUUAGCUAGUUGGUAAGGUAACGGCUUACCAAGGCGACGAUCAGUAGCCGACCUGAGAGGGUGACCGGCCACAUUGGGACUGAGACACGGCCCAAACUCCUACGGGAGGCAGCAGUGGGGAAUAUUGCACAAUGGGGGAAACCCUGAUGCAGCGACGCCGCGUGAGCGAAGAAGUAUUUCGGUAUGUAAAGCUCUAUCAGCAGGGAAGAAAAUGACGGUACCUGACUAAGAAGCACCGGCUAAAUACGUGCCAGCAGCCGCGGUAAUACGUAUGGUGCAAGCGUUAUCCGGAUUUACUGGGUGUAAAGGGAGCGUAGACGGAUGGGCAAGUCUGAUGUGAAAACCCGGGGCUCAACCCCGGGACUGCAUUGGAAACUGUUCAUCUAGAGUGCUGGAGAGGUAAGUGGAAUUCCUAGUGUAGCGGUGAAAUGCGUAGAUAUUAGGAGGAACACCAGUGGCGAAGGCGGCUUACUGGACAGUAACUGACGUUGAGGCUCGAAAGCGUGGGGAGCAAACAGGAUUAGAUACCCUGGUAGUCCACGCCGUAAACGAUGACUACUAGGUGUCGGGUGGCAAAGCCAUUCG